AUUGAACGCUGGCGGCAUGCUUUACACAUGCAAGUCGAACGGUAACAGGCCGCAAGGUGCUGACGAGUGGCGAACGGGUGAGUAAUGCAUCGGAACGUGCCCACUCGUGGGGGAUAACUACUCGAAAGAGUAGCUAAUACCGCAUACGAUCUAUGGUUUAAAGCGGGGGACCGUAAGGCCUCGCGCGAUUGGUGCGGCCGAUGUCAGAUUAGGUAGUUGGUGGGUUAAUGGCUCACCAAGCCAACGAUCUGUAGCUGGUCUGAGAGGACGACCAGCCACACUGGGACUGAGACACGGCCCAGACUCCUACGGGAGGCAGCAGUGGGGAAUGUUGGACAAUGGGCGCAAGCCUGAUCCAGCAAUGCCGCGUGCGGGAAGAAGGCCUUCGGGUUGUAAACUGCUUUUGUACGGGACGAAACGACUCUGGUUAAUACCCGGAGCUAAUGACGGUACCGUAAGAAUAAGCACCGGCUAACUACGUG
Molecule: ribosomal RNA, 482 nt
Filed under: uncultured bacterium
Lineage: Bacteria
Description: partial 16S ribosomal RNA
Rfam family: Bacterial small subunit ribosomal RNA
Source: RNAcentral